UCCCUGGCAGUUCAGUGGCUAGAAUUCCACUCUUCCAUUGUGGGGGGGUCACAGGUUCGAUCCCUGGUCAGGGAA
Molecule: transfer RNA, 75 nt
Filed under: Ovis aries (sheep)
Lineage: Eukaryota; Metazoa; Chordata; Mammalia; Artiodactyla; Bovidae
Rfam family: tRNA
About the family: Transfer RNA (tRNA) molecules are approximately 80 nucleotides in length. Their secondary structure includes four short double-helical elements and three loops (D, anti-codon, and T loops).
Source: Rfam by way of RNAcentral